Nothoprocta perdicaria is the source of this 315-nucleotide long non-coding RNA. RefSeq lists it as uncharacterized. The transcript has 3 exons. Lineage: Eukaryota; Metazoa; Chordata; Aves; Tinamiformes; Tinamidae. The record is from RefSeq and is a predicted model, not a curated record.
GACUCUGGAGAGCUAAGGUGAAGACUGGUUAGGUCCUUGCUGCCCUUUAGCAUUUAUAACUAAAGAUACAGGUUAAUUUUCAGCUGAAGUUCCCUUAUCUAAUAUAGUUUCAUGACGACUAACUGCAAGAAGAGACGCAGCAAGUAAGUGGCAGCAGGACUGCCCCCUUCGGUAGCAGCUUGCAUUUAGAUUGGCUUCAGUUUGUUGAGAAACUCAAGUUUCAGCAAUGUCCUGCUUUGUGGCACCUCAGACCGUCCUAAAUCUCAAGCCCUUCUUUUGGGGAGGGAGGUCUUGGCUACCAUGUAUGUAAGCUGA